Molecule: ribosomal RNA, 487 nt
Filed under: uncultured bacterium
Lineage: Bacteria
Description: partial 16S ribosomal RNA
Rfam family: Bacterial small subunit ribosomal RNA
Source: RNAcentral
GACGAACGCUGGCGGCGUGCUUAACACAUGCAAGUCGAACGGGCUCUGUCGGGGUGUGUGCUGGGUGGGGUUAGUGGCGAACGGGGGAGUAAUACGGGAGUAACCUGCUCUCUUCCUUGGGAUAAGCCGUGGAAACGGGGCCUAAUACGGGAUAUUCCUGUCUGGUCGCAGGGCUGGGGGGGGAAAGGGUUUUUCGGUGGGGGAUGGGCGCGCGGCCUAUGCGCUUGCUGGUGGGGAGUGGGCCGACGAAGGCGGCGACCGGUCGCCGGCCGGCGAGGGUGCCCGGCGGCACUGAGACUGGGCUCCGGCCCAGACUGGUGCGGGCGGCAGCAGUGGGGGCUAUUGGGCAAUGGGCGUAACCCUGAAGCGGCGACGCCGUGUGGAGGAUGUCGGCUUUCGAGUUGUCUGCUUCUUUCGUCGGGGGACUAGGCUCUGCUUGGUGGUGGGGUUGACGGUACCCGGUGAAGAAGCGCCGGCUAACUACGUG